RNAcentral lists this transfer RNA (79 nucleotides) under Pseudomonadota bacterium. RNAcentral's name for it is "tRNA-Asp". It matches the Rfam family "tRNA". From Rfam's summary of the family: Transfer RNA (tRNA) molecules are approximately 80 nucleotides in length. Their secondary structure includes four short double-helical elements and three loops (D, anti-codon, and T loops). RNAcentral also lists the same sequence under 1 other name. Lineage: Bacteria; Pseudomonadati; Pseudomonadota. The record is from RNAcentral.
GGGCCCGUGGUGUAGCCUGGUUUAACACGUCAGAUUGUCGAUCUGAAGAUCGCGAGUUCAAAUCUCGUCGGGCCCGCCA